CCUACGGGAGGCAGCAGUGAGGAAUAUUGGUCAAUGGACGAGAGUCUGAACCAGCCAAGUAGCGUGAAGGAUGACUGCCCUAUGGGUUGUAAACUUCUUUUAUAUGGGAAUAAAACGUUCCACGUGUGGGAUUUUGUAUGUACCAUAUGAAUAAGGAUCGGCUAACUCCGUGCCAGCAGCCGCGGUAAUACGGAGGAUCCGAGCGUUAUCCGGAUUUAUUGGGUUUAAAGGGAGCGUAGGUGGAUUGUUAAGUCAGUUGUGAAAGUUUGCGGCUCAACCGUAAAAUUGCAGUUGAAACUGGCAGUCUUGAGUGCAGUAGAGGUGGGCGGAAUUCGUGGUAUAGCGGUGAAAUGCUUAGAUAUCACGAAGAACUCCGAUUGCGAAGGCAGUUCACUGGACUGCAACUGACACUGAGGCUCGAAAGUGUGGGUAUCAAACAGGAUUAGAUACCCGUGUAGUC
Molecule: ribosomal RNA, 460 nt
Filed under: uncultured bacterium
Lineage: Bacteria
Description: partial 16S ribosomal RNA
Rfam family: Bacterial small subunit ribosomal RNA
Source: RNAcentral